This 89-nucleotide transfer RNA is filed under the name Candidatus Avisuccinivibrio stercorigallinarum. Its description in RNAcentral is "tRNA-Ser". It matches the Rfam family "tRNA". From Rfam's summary of the family: Transfer RNA (tRNA) molecules are approximately 80 nucleotides in length. Their secondary structure includes four short double-helical elements and three loops (D, anti-codon, and T loops). Lineage: Bacteria; Pseudomonadati; Pseudomonadota; Gammaproteobacteria; Aeromonadales; Succinivibrionaceae. The record is from RNAcentral.
GGAGAGAUGGCAGAGCGGCCGAAUGCACCGCACUCGAAAUGCGGCAGUCCCUAGUGGACUCGGGGGUUCAAAUCCCCCUCUCUCCGCCA